This 506-nucleotide ribosomal RNA is filed under the name uncultured bacterium. RNAcentral describes it as "partial 16S ribosomal RNA". It matches the Rfam family "Bacterial small subunit ribosomal RNA", at positions 29 to 523 of the family's 1533-position model. The record is from RNAcentral.
AGUGAACGCUGGCGGUAGGCCUAACACAUGCAAGUCGAACGGCAGCACAGAGGAGCUUGCUCCUUGGGUGGCGAGUGGCGGACGGGUGAGGAAUACAUCGGAAUCUACUCUGUCGUGGGGGAUAACGUAGGGGAACUUACGCUAAUACCGCAUACGACCUACGGGUGAAAGCAGGGGACCUUCGGGCCUUGCGCGAUUGAAUGAGCCGAUGUCGGAUUAGCUAGUUGGCGGGGUAAAGGCCCACCAAGGCGACGAUCCGUAGCUGGUCUGAGAGGAUGAUCAGCGACACUGGACCUGGGACACGGUCCAGAGUCCUACGGGAGGCAGCAGUGGGGAAUAUUGGACAAUGGGCGCAAGCCUGAUCCAGCCAUACCGCGUGGGUGAAGAAGGCCUUCGGGUUGUAAAGCCCUUUUGUUGGGAAAGAAAUCCAGCUGGCUAAUACCCGGUUGGGAUGACGGUACCCAAAGAAUAAGCACCGGCUAACUUCGUGCCAGCAGCCGCCGUAA